Molecule: ribosomal RNA, 253 nt
Filed under: uncultured bacterium
Lineage: Bacteria
Description: partial 16S ribosomal RNA
Rfam family: Bacterial small subunit ribosomal RNA
Source: RNAcentral
GACAGAGGUCCCGAGCGUUAGGCGGAAUCACUGGGCUUAAAGCGUGUGUAGGCGGAUCGUUAAGUGCCUUGUGAAAUCCCACGGCUUAACCGUGGAACUGCUUGGCAUACUGGCGGUCUUGAGCAACCUAGGGGCAAGCGGAACAAAUGGUGGAGCGGUGAAAUGCGUAGAUAUCAUUUGGAACGCCAAUGGUGAAAACAGCUCGCUGGGGGUUUGCUGACGCUGAGACACGAAAGCCAGGGGAGCAAACGGG